Molecule: long non-coding RNA, 206 nt
Filed under: Gossypium raimondii (Peruvian cotton)
Lineage: Eukaryota; Viridiplantae; Streptophyta; Magnoliopsida; Malvales; Malvaceae
Description: long non-coding RNA (GRAI_LNC008985)
Source: RNAcentral
UGCACUUUUUUCUCUUGUACUGACUUUUAAUAUCAUAUGCUUUUGCACGUGAUUUUACAUAAUUCCUAAAAAUGAGAAAAUUCAAAAUUCAAAAUUAUCAAUUUUCAGUAAUUCCAAAACCUGCUAAAAAUUAUAAAGUAAAUCAAACAAUCAAAACAAUUUUAAGAAAAGAAAAGAAAAAAGAAAAAAUAAUAUUAAAAAUUAAG